UUUUUAUGAGAGUUUGAUCCUGGCUCAGGACGAACGCUGGCGGCGUGCCUAAUACAUGCAAGUCGAACGCUUCUUUUUCCACCGGAGCUUGCUCCACCGGAAAAAGAGGAGUGGCGAACGGGUGAGUAACACGUGGGUAACCUGCCCAUCAGAAGGGGAUAACACUUGGAAACAGGUGCUAAUAACGUAUAACAAUCG
This 198-nucleotide ribosomal RNA is filed under the name Enterococcus faecium. RNAcentral describes it as "partial 16S ribosomal RNA". It matches the Rfam family "Bacterial small subunit ribosomal RNA", at positions 1 to 182 of the family's 1533-position model. Lineage: Bacteria; Bacillati; Bacillota; Bacilli; Lactobacillales; Enterococcaceae. The record is from RNAcentral.